CAUAGGUUAAUGAGGCGAACCGGGGGAACUGAAACAUCUAAGUACCCCGAGGAAAAGAAAUCAACCGAGAUUCCCCCAGUAGCGGCGAGCGAACGGGGAGCAGCCCAGAGCCUGAAUCAGUGUGUGUGUUAGUGGAAGCGUCUGGAAAGGCGCGCGAUACAGGGUGACAGCCCCGUACACAAAAAUGCACAUACUGUGAGCUCGAUGAGUAGGGCGGGACACGUGGUAUCCUGUCUGAAUAUGGGGGGACCAUCCUCCAAGGCUAAAUACUCCUGACUGACCGAUAGUGAACCAGUACCGUGAGGGAAAGGCGAAAAGAACCCCGGCGAGGGGAGUGAAAAAGAACCUGAAACCGUGUACGUACAAGCAGUGGGAGCACGCUUAGGCGUGUGACUGCGUACCUUUUGUAUAAUGGGUCAGCGACUUAUAUUCUGUAGCAAGGUUAACCGAAUAGGGGAGCCGAAGGGAAACCGAGUCUUAACUGGGCGUUAAGUUGCAGGGUAUAGACCCGAAACCCGGUGAUCUAGCCAUGGGCAGGUUGAAGGUUGGGUAACACUAACUGGAGGACCGAACCGACUAAUGUUGAAAAAUUAGCGGAUGACUUGUGGCUGGGGGUGAAAGGCCAAUCAAACCGGGAGAUAGCUGGUUCUCCCCGAAAGCUAUUUAGGUAGCGCCUCGUGAAUUCAUCUCCGGGGGUAGAGCACUGUUUCGGCAAGGGGGUCAUCCCGACUUACCAACCCGAUGCAAACUGCGAAUACCGGAGAAUGUUAUCACGGGAGACACACGGCGGGUGCUAACGU
This 800-nucleotide ribosomal RNA is filed under the name Escherichia coli. RNAcentral's name for it is "partial 23S ribosomal RNA". It matches the Rfam family "Bacterial large subunit ribosomal RNA", at positions 165 to 1004 of the family's 2925-position model. The record is from RNAcentral. Lineage: Bacteria; Pseudomonadati; Pseudomonadota; Gammaproteobacteria; Enterobacterales; Enterobacteriaceae.